GCCGAAAUUAAUACAACAUUGUAAAGCAAUUAUACUUCAAUAAAAAUGAGUGCUCAAAUUAGUAACAGAAGUUUGCUAUUCUGCAAAGAAUUAAAACAAACUCAACAUUUUAUUGCUUCCUUGGAAAACAAUGACUUCUAGGGCGAGCUAACAAAAAAAAAAAAAAAGAAAAAAGAGGAUGUUAGGCAAAAAGUGCUGAAAAGGGCCUUUGUGUAAUUCAACACAAUCCAAAGGUUCAGAAGUUGUGUUUCCUUAUCAGAAUCUCUUGGGGUUAGGAGAGGUGAAGGAGGUAAAGUUAAUUUAAAAAUCCAGAGUCCUGAGACCCACCCUGGAUUCGCUAAAUAAAUAUCUGUGGGUAUAUGAUAAGAAUCAGUUUGAGUAUACUUUUUAGUAAUUCUUGGCACACUCAAGCAUAUCUUUUAACACAUGAGAUAUUUCUAGUUCAUCAUGUUGUUUCUAUUUUGUCAUGGGUAUAUUCAGAUUUUUGUAACUAUAUGUAUGCAAAAAUUAAUAUUCGAUAGAUAUAUUUUUGUCCAUAAUAAUCCUGUGAAGGCAUAAUGGUGGAAAACAUUUACAUGCAUGGUUUAAAAACAUAAAAGUCAAAGUGAAAGUCCCUCACUCAUGUCUGACUCUUUGGGACCCCAUGGACUGUAGCCUCCCAAGCUUCUCUGUCCAUUGAAUUCUCCAGGCAAGAAUACUGGAGUGGGUAGCC
This 712-nucleotide long non-coding RNA is filed under the name Capra hircus (goat). RNAcentral's name for it is "lncRNA (ENSCHIG00010000540.1)". The record is from RNAcentral. Lineage: Eukaryota; Metazoa; Chordata; Mammalia; Artiodactyla; Bovidae.